Molecule: transfer RNA, 105 nt
Rfam family: tRNA
About the family: Transfer RNA (tRNA) molecules are approximately 80 nucleotides in length. Their secondary structure includes four short double-helical elements and three loops (D, anti-codon, and T loops). Further hydrogen bonds mediate the characteristic L-shaped molecular structure. tRNAs have two regions of fundamental functional importance: the anti-codon, which is responsible for specific mRNA codon recognition, and the 3' end, to which the tRNAs corresponding amino acid is attached (by aminoacyl-tRNA synthetases). tRNAs cope with the degeneracy of the genetic code in two manners: having more than one tRNA (with a specific anti-codon) for a particular amino acid; and 'wobble' base-pairing, i.e. permitting non-standard base-pairing at the 3rd anti-codon position.
Source: Rfam
GCCCGAUUGACGCAGUGGUAGCGUGCCGUUCUUAUACUCUCUAUCGCAUGGUAGUUUGUAUGAUAAGAUAUGCGGAAGCCGUGAGUUCGACCCUCACAUUGGGCA